RNAcentral lists this unclassified non-coding RNA (293 nucleotides) under fungal sp. Its description in RNAcentral is "partial internal transcribed spacer region". Lineage: Eukaryota; Fungi. The record is from RNAcentral.
AAGUCGUAACAAGGUUUCCGUAGGUGAAUCAUUAACACGUAUCCCGUUAAAACCCCGUGCAUUUUAACCCUGCUCUCUUCACCUCAAAAAGCAAUUUCUGGUAAAUCAUAGCAACAGUUUGAUUCAGAGACUUCUUUAAGACGUGGGGAUGGAGCGGUAGAGCAAAGAGUUGACCCUCACGUCAACGGACAGGUCUCUGGGGCUUCGGCUCCCAUAUUAACCCCGUAUUGAAAGUCGGGCUUGCAAACUACAGGCCCACAAAACGAACAACUGUUAACAAUGGAGAUGUUCUC